RNAcentral lists this ribosomal RNA (454 nucleotides) under Macrobrachium nipponense. Its description in RNAcentral is "partial large subunit ribosomal RNA". It matches the Rfam family "Bacterial large subunit ribosomal RNA", at positions 1930 to 2595 of the family's 2925-position model. The record is from RNAcentral. Lineage: Eukaryota; Metazoa; Arthropoda; Malacostraca; Decapoda; Palaemonidae.
GCCGCGGUAAUUUGACCGUGCGAAGGUAGCAUAGUCAGUAGUCUUUUAAUUGAAGGCUUGAAUGAAAGGUUGGACGAGGGAUGAGCUGUCUCCUUUAUGUAGUUUGAAUUUAACUUUUGAGUGAAAAGGCUCAAAUUAUUUAGUGGGACGAUAAGACCCUAUAAAACUUUAUAUAAGUUUAAUUUGGCUUACAAUUUGAGUGAAAAGUAGCUUUAUUAGGCUUAUAUUUCGUUGGGGAGAUGUAGAUAUAAUGUGUAACUGUCUAUUUAAUUUAAUAAUUAUAAUUAGUGUGUGAUCCUUCUUUGUGGAUUAAAAGUAUAAGUUACUUUAGGGAUAACAGCGUGAUUUUCUUUGAGAGUUCUUAUCGACAAGAGUAGUUGCGACCUCGAUGUUGAAUUAAAAUUUCAGUUAGGUGUAGCCGUCUAGCUGGUAGGUCUGUUCGACCUUUAAAAUU